GAUGAACGCUGGCGGCGUGCCUAAUACAUGCAAGUCGAGCGAACGGACGAGAAGCUUGCUUUUCUGAUGUUAGCGGCGGACGGGUGAGUAACACGUGGAUAACCUACCUAUAAGACUGGGAUAACUUCGGGAAACCGGAGCUAAUACCGGAUAAUAUUUUGAACCGCAUGGUUCAAAAGUGAAAGACGCUCUUGCUGUCACUUAUAGAUGGAUCCGCGCUGCAUUAGCUAGUUGGUAAGGUAACGGCUUACCAAGGCAACGAUGCAUAGCCGACCUGAGAGGGUGAUCGGCCACACUGGAACUGAGACACGGUCCAGACUCCUACGGGAGGCAGCAGUAGGGAAUCUUGCGCAAUGGGCGAAAGCCUGACGGAGCAACGCCGCGUGAGUGAUGAAGGUCUUCGGAUCGUAAAACUCUGUUAUUCGGGAAGAACAUAUGUGUAAGUAACUGUGCACAUCUUGACGGUACCUAAUCAGAAAGCCACGGCUAACUACGUG
RNAcentral lists this ribosomal RNA (497 nucleotides) under uncultured bacterium. RNAcentral describes it as "partial 16S ribosomal RNA". It matches the Rfam family "Bacterial small subunit ribosomal RNA", at positions 28 to 507 of the family's 1533-position model. The record is from RNAcentral.